GAGAUAUCCUGUUUGUGUCCAACCGAGCCGGCGCGUCAAAGGCGCUUGGACCAUUGUGCGUCUUCGUGUGUUGCUGCUUGGUGCUCGUCGGACGCGACGCUGAACAUCCUCCUUGAAGAUGUCAUGACCGGCUGAUAUCCUGGAGAAGUAUGAUGGUCUGAUUGCCGAAGUGAAGAUUACUCGUUCAGGAUCGAAAGACACACAAGAUGUCUGUUCUACACGUCCCUUGUACCUUGAACCUGAAUGCGAUGCCAUUAUCUUCAUGCAC
Molecule: small RNA, 268 nt
Filed under: Cryptococcus neoformans H99
Lineage: Eukaryota; Fungi; Basidiomycota; Tremellomycetes; Tremellales; Cryptococcaceae
Description: Cryptococcus neoformans var. grubii H99 hypothetical RNA
Source: RNAcentral